This 284-nucleotide unclassified non-coding RNA is filed under the name plant metagenome. Its description in RNAcentral is "partial contains small subunit ribosomal RNA, internal transcribed spacer 1, and 5.8S ribosomal RNA". The stretch from base 1 to 53 matches the Rfam family "Eukaryotic small subunit ribosomal RNA", at positions 1779 to 1831 of the family's 1831-position model. The record is from RNAcentral.
GGAGUAAAAGUCGUAACAAGGUUUCCGUAGGUGAACCUGCGGAAGGAUCAUUAUUGUAUAACCGAGGUGCGAGGGCUGUCGCUGACCCGAAAGGUCGUGCACGCCCGAGUGCCCUCACACACAUCCAUCUCACCCCUAUGUGCACCACCGCGUGGGUCCCCCUUUGGCUUGUUCGGAGGGGGGCUUACGUUUUCACACAAACAUUGUAUGCAGUGUAGAAUGUAUUUUUUGUUUUUGCGAUCACGCAAUCAAUACAACUUUCAACAACGGAUCUCUUGGCUCUC